Molecule: transfer RNA, 74 nt
Filed under: Patescibacteria group bacterium
Lineage: Bacteria
Description: tRNA-Gly
Rfam family: tRNA
About the family: Transfer RNA (tRNA) molecules are approximately 80 nucleotides in length. Their secondary structure includes four short double-helical elements and three loops (D, anti-codon, and T loops). Further hydrogen bonds mediate the characteristic L-shaped molecular structure. tRNAs have two regions of fundamental functional importance: the anti-codon, which is responsible for specific mRNA codon recognition, and the 3' end, to which the tRNAs corresponding amino acid is attached (by aminoacyl-tRNA synthetases). tRNAs cope with the degeneracy of the genetic code in two manners: having more than one tRNA (with a specific anti-codon) for a particular amino acid; and 'wobble' base-pairing, i.e. permitting non-standard base-pairing at the 3rd anti-codon position.
Source: RNAcentral
GCAGGUAUAGUUUAGUGGUAAAAUGCGACCUUCCCAAGGUUGAGUCGCCGGUCCGAUUCCGGUUACCUGCUCCA